RNAcentral lists this long non-coding RNA (1116 nucleotides) under Gossypium barbadense (sea-island cotton). RNAcentral's name for it is "long non-coding RNA (GBAR_LNC004790)". Lineage: Eukaryota; Viridiplantae; Streptophyta; Magnoliopsida; Malvales; Malvaceae. The record is from RNAcentral.
UGGCGUAAUAUGAAAAAAAAAGUCUUUAUGGCAUUGUAAUAGCCCAAAUCUACCCGGGCCUUAAAACCAAAAAAAUAAUAAAUGAAUAAAUAAAUAUUUAUUUUAAAAGUCCAUUAAAGAGUCCGUGUACAAAAAAAAACACUUAACCCCAUAACCCAUUACAGAGCCCAAACAGUUGCGGCCCAAACAUUUAAGCUUCAAACCCGACAACCCAUUACACCCAAGCCCAGAUUUAAACACUCAGACCCAUCUACGCCGGAUGAUCCAAUAUCCUUGACCUAAGGAUACACGGGGCCCAAAAGGCCCAAAGCAGUAAACGGAUCAGGAAACCCUAGGGUUUCCUGAGAAGUUAGGCGCCGCAAAGGGGGAUUCUAGAUGCUUUGAGAUUCCAAAUGUCACGACUUUUCAGGUCCAAUGGCCCAAUCGUCGCCUUCAUCAGUGCGCCGUGACUCUUCGACUUCGCCACCAUGCAUCGCGCCACCAUCGGCGCCCGAAUCACGCCAGAAUUGUCAUGCGCUACAAUCCAACACUGGCCCCAUCAGCGCGCAGUCAUUGGUGCUCGAACGAAAUCCUUGCGAUUCGCCUGCAAGAAAAGGAAAGAAAAUCACAACAGACAUGCGAAGCGAAUACGGAAAGAAAUCAGAGAUUUCUUUCCAAAACUUGUAGUGGUUUAUCGAGGCUACAAAGCCUUCUUUUCAAUCUGUAGAAAGGACUUACACAAGAAAAACUUACACACGCAUAGUGAAAAAAAACACCAGAGAGAUAUACCAAAAAUACUGUACACAGAAUAUUUUUGCAAUAAUACACCAGAGAUUUUUACAGGAAACGAAGGUGAUAUAUAUAUAUUUUUUAUUUCUGUUUCAUUCUCUUUAUCACAAGUUCAUGCAUAUAAUACAUUGAAAAACAGAGGAGAAAGAUGUACCUUUAGAUUCGUCGCAAAAAGCGAAGCUUUUCGGAUCCCGACCACCGUGUGUGGCGGAGUUGGUGAUGCGCAUGGGGCUGAACACGGAGGUCCGAUGAACGAAGCGGAUCGGCCCAGGGCCGGAGCUCAGAGGUCUGGGAAAUUUCAAAGGGUUUUUUUUUUGCUUUUUUACAGGGGGUUAAAAUGAUUUUUUU